GGGGUAUUAGCUCAGUCGGUAGAGCGCAACAAUGGCAUUGUUGAGGUCAGCGGUUCGACCCCGCUAUACUCCA
Molecule: transfer RNA, 73 nt
Filed under: Chlamydia psittaci
Lineage: Bacteria; Pseudomonadati; Chlamydiota; Chlamydiia; Chlamydiales; Chlamydiaceae
Also listed under: 9 other names
Description: tRNA-Ala
Rfam family: tRNA
About the family: Transfer RNA (tRNA) molecules are approximately 80 nucleotides in length.
Source: RNAcentral